AACGAACGCUGGCGGCAUGCCUAACACAUGCCAGUCGAACGAGACCUUCGGGUCUAGUGGCGCACGGGUGCGUAACGCGUGGGAACCUGCCCUUAGGUUCGGAAUAACUCCCCGAAAGGGGUGCUAAUACCGGAUAAUGUCUUCGGACCAAAGAUUUAUCGCCUUUGGAUGGGCCCGCGUUGGAUUAGCUAGUUGGUAGGGUAAAAGCCUACUAAGGCGACGAUCCAUAGCUGGUCUGAGAGGAUGAUCAGCCACACUGGGACUGAGACACGGCCAGACUCCACCGGAGGGAGGAGGGGGGGAUAAUGGACCAGUGGGCGAAGGCUUAUCCCGCCAUGGCGGGUGAGUGAUGAAAGGCUUUGGGUUUGUAAGCUCUUUUACCCGGGAUGAUAAUGACAGUACCGGGAGAAUAAGCUCCGGCUAACUCCGUG
Molecule: ribosomal RNA, 431 nt
Filed under: uncultured bacterium
Lineage: Bacteria
Description: partial 16S ribosomal RNA
Rfam family: Bacterial small subunit ribosomal RNA
Source: RNAcentral